This 493-nucleotide ribosomal RNA is filed under the name uncultured bacterium. RNAcentral describes it as "partial 16S ribosomal RNA". It matches the Rfam family "Bacterial small subunit ribosomal RNA", at positions 29 to 523 of the family's 1533-position model. The record is from RNAcentral.
AUUGAACGCUGGCGGCAUGCUUUACACAUGCAAGUCGAACGGUAACAGGUUAAGCUGACGAGUGGCGAACGGGUGAGUAAUGCAUCGGAACGUGCCCGCACGUGGGGGAUAACGCAGCGAAAGCUGCGCUAAUACCGCAUACGAUCUGAGGAUGAAAGCGGGGGACCGUAAGUCCGAGCGCGGUCGGAGAGGCCGAUGUCAGAUUAGGUAGUUGGUGGGGUAAAGGCUCACCAAGCCGACGAUCUGUAGCUGGUCUGAGAGGCCGACCAGCCACACUGGGACUGAGACACGGCCCAGACUCCUACGGGAGGCAGCAGUGGGGAAUUUUGGACAAUGGGCGAAAGCCUGAUCCAGCAAUGCCGCGUGCAGGAAGAAGGCCUUCGGGUUGUAAACUGCUUUUGUACGGAGCGAAAAGGCUCUCUCUAAUACAGGGGGCUCAUGACGGUACCGUAAGAAUAAGCACCGGCUAACUACGUGCCAGCCGCCGCAGUAA